AUUGAACGCUGGCGGCAUGCCUUACACAUGCAAGUCGAACGGCAGCACGGGGGCAACCCUGGUGGCGAGUGGCGAACGGGUGAGUAACACAUCGGAACGUGCCCAGUAGUGGGGGAUAGCUCGGCGAAAGCCGGAUUAAUACCGCAUACGACCUACGGGUGAAAGCGGGGAUCGCAAGACCUCGCGCUAUCGGAGCGGCCGAUGUCAGAUUAGGUUGUUGGUGGGGNGAUGGCCUACCAAGGCGACGACGGGUAGCCGGCCUGAGAGGGCGACCGGCCACACUGGGACUGAGACACGGCCCAGACUCCUACGGGAGGGCAGCAGUGGGGAAUCUUGCGCAAUGGGCGAAAGCCUGACGCAGCGACGCCGCGUGAGGGAUGACGACCUC
This 388-nucleotide ribosomal RNA is filed under the name uncultured bacterium. RNAcentral's name for it is "bacterial SSU rRNA". It matches the Rfam family "Bacterial small subunit ribosomal RNA", at positions 28 to 418 of the family's 1533-position model. The record is from RNAcentral.